ACGGGAGGCAGCAGUGGGGAAUAUUGGGCAAUGGGCGAAAGCCUGACCCAGCAACGCCGCGUGAGGGAAGAAGGUUUUCGGAUUGUAAACCUCUGUCCUUGGUGACGAAGGAAGUGACGGUAGCCAAGGAGGAAGCCCCGGCUAACUACGUGCCAGCAGCCGCGGUAAUACGUAGGGGGCGAGCGUUGUCCGGAAUGACUGGGCGUAAAGGGCGCGUAGGUGGCUUUUUAAGUUAGAAGUGAAAGUCCUGUUUUUAAGAUGGGAAUUGCUUUUAAUACUGGAGAGCUUGAGUGCAGAAGAGGUAAGCGGAAUUCCCAGUGUAGCGGUGAAAUGCGUAGAGAUUGGGAAGAACACCAGUGGCGAAGGCGGCUUACUGGGCUGUAACUGACACUGAGGCGCGAAAGCGUGGGGAGCGAACAGGAUUAGAUACCCUGGUA
This 437-nucleotide ribosomal RNA is filed under the name uncultured bacterium. RNAcentral's name for it is "partial 16S ribosomal RNA". It matches the Rfam family "Bacterial small subunit ribosomal RNA", at positions 341 to 792 of the family's 1533-position model. The record is from RNAcentral.